This 351-nucleotide ribosomal RNA is filed under the name Rhodospirillaceae bacterium. RNAcentral's name for it is "bacterial LSU rRNA". It matches the Rfam family "Bacterial large subunit ribosomal RNA", at positions 2568 to 2925 of the family's 2925-position model. The record is from RNAcentral. Lineage: Bacteria; Pseudomonadati; Pseudomonadota; Alphaproteobacteria; Rhodospirillales; Rhodospirillaceae.
AGGGUUCGGCUGUUCGCCGAUUAAAGUGGUACGUGAGCUGGGUUUAGAACGUCGUGAGACAGUUCGGUCCCUAUCUGCCGUGGGUGUUCGAGACUUGAGAGGAGCUGCCCCUAGUACGAGAGGACCGGGGUGGACGUACCUCUGGUGUACCGGUUGUGGCGCCAGCCGCACCGCCGGGUAGCCAAGUACGGAAGGGAUAACCGCUGAAGGCAUCUAAGCGGGAAGCCCCCCUCGAAACAAGGUCUCGCUUGAGAGUCGUGGAAGACCACCACGUCGAUAGGCCAGGUGUGGAAGCGCAGUAAUGUGUGAAGCUAACUGGUACUAAUCACUCGAUUGGCUUGAUUUCAAGAU